Molecule: long non-coding RNA, 406 nt
Filed under: Homo sapiens (human)
Lineage: Eukaryota; Metazoa; Chordata; Mammalia; Primates; Hominidae
Description: non-protein coding lnc-WWP1-3:1
Source: RNAcentral
AUGGCCGUUCUCAGAUCCCUCAUGAAGCCCAAGAUCAUCAAAAAGAGGACCAAGAAGUUCAUCUAGCACCAGUUAGACAAACAUGUCAAAAUUAAGCGUAACUGACGGGAAACCCAGAGAUAUUGACAACAUGGUUCGUAGAAAGUUCAAGGGCCAGAUCUUGAUGCCCAACACUGGUUAUGGGCGCAACAAAAAAACACAAAGCACAUGCUGCUGAUGGCUUCCGGAAGUUCCUGGUCCACAACGCCAAGGAGCUGGAAGUGCUGCUGAUGUGCAACAAAUCUUACUUUGCUGAGAUCACUCACAAUGUUUCCUUCCAGAACCGCAAAGCCACAUGGAAAGGGCCACCCAGCUGGCCAUCAGAGUCACCAACCACAAUGCCAGGUUGUGCAGCAAAGAAAAUGAA